Molecule: ribosomal RNA, 217 nt
Filed under: uncultured microorganism
Description: partial 16S ribosomal RNA
Rfam family: Bacterial small subunit ribosomal RNA
Source: RNAcentral
GUGCACCAGUCGAGAAUCUUCCACAAUGGACGAAAGUCUGAUGGAGCGACGCCGCGUGCGGGAUGAAGGCCUUAUGGGUUGUAAACCGCUGUCAGGGGGAAGAACAUCGGAAUGAACAAUACUCAUUCGACUGACGUUACCCCCAGAGGAAGCUCCGGCCAAACCUCCGUGCCAGCAGCCGCGGUAAUACGGGGGGAGCAAGCGUUGUCCGGAAUUA